CCUCCAUCUGCUGGGGGUGCGGCCCUAGGAAAGACAAAAAGACCAAAUAAUAAUAAUAAUAAAAAUAAUAAUAAUAAAUUUAGACUUAAUAGAGUUCCUGUCAUGGCUCAGUGGAAAGGAAUCCAACUAGGAACCAUGAGGUUGCAGGUUUGAUCCCUGGCCUCGCUCAGUGGGUUAAGGAUCCGGCGUUGCGGUGGGCUGUGAUGUAGGUUGCAGACGGGGCUCAGAUCUGGUGUUGCUGUGGCCGCGGCAGCACAGGCCAGCAGCUGGAACUCCGAUUCAUUCCCUAGCCUGGGAACCUCCAUAUGCAGUGGUUGUGGCCCUAAAAAGCCAAAAAAAAAAAAAAAAAAUUUAGGCUUAAAAAAUUGUUUUGGAAUUCCAAUCUGAGUAGGCUUCAGACAGAAUAGAGAUUUAUAGAAGAUUUCAGCUCAACAUGAAGGCAAAUGUUACCCCCUGUUACUAGAAUUAUUUAAGGCAGAGACUAAACAUGCACUUAAGGUAGGGAAUUAAUAAAUCAGAAAAAACAUUGAAUUGUUAUUACUUUGAAAAUUCUUUUCAACUCAUAAUUUCUUAGGAAUAAUACUUAGCACUUUUGUAUUUAAGUCUUCUGUUAAUUUACCAGGUUGGAUAAAGAAGUGUGAUUUCAAUUUUUCUAGUAUUAUUUUGAAAAAAGAAAAAAAUUUAUCACUUCCUCUCACCCCUUGCUAUUGCAAAACAACGUAAGAUCCAGUUUUCAAAUUUUCAUGAGCUUUACUAUUCAAAUGAAUUAGUUAAGAUAGUUUUCAUGAAAUUUGCCCUGAAAAUUUAAUUCUAACUUUUAUCAUUUUCAUAAGAAAUUUUUCACUUUUAAUCACUUUUCAGAAAGGCUUAUGAAGUUUAGUGUUAAUAUUGCUGUUUCAAAAGUACCUUCUACAUGUUUAUUUGGAAAGACAUAAGUGAUAGCAUGGUAAAUUGCGAAACCAAAUUAUCAGAUAUUAUCAAAUAAAUUUUUCUUUAUAAAAAUCCAGACUAAAUUCUGUUUAAAGGUUGAGGCAAUAAAGUAAUAUUUUCACUUUUCAUUUUUUUUCUUGCACUCUAAUUUAAGAUAGAAAGAAACCACAUAGUUUGAUAAUGUCAUCCCAAAUAAUCUGUGUUAGAGAUCAGGUUUCCAGGUAAGUUGACUACUGUUGCAGAGAAAUGCAUAAUUCUCUCUUAGAGAGUUUUAAGUCUUUGCCGAAGGCAGGAGGGUAGCUGUGGCAAUAACAUCUAAAUUCAGGGAUCUAGUGUGAACCAAUAUGAAACUCAGUUCUCACUCAAAGUCUACUUUUUUCUUGUCACUUCUGUCAUUUGUGCUUUCUGUGAUAUUGCAACAUUUCCAAAUGUCAAAUGGACAAAUAACAAUACCUUUAAGAGAUCUGAGUAUGUUGAAAUAUAUUACAACAAAGUCUGUAAACUAUAUUACACAUUUCUAAAUAUUUAGCUAAGUAAACUUUUCUCCUUCAGAAAUUGUGUGUGUGUGUGUGUGUGUGUGUGUGUAAAACUAUAAAGCCCAGGUCUUUUUGCAUCCCCUUCCAUGCCCUGGAACAGUAAUGUCAAAUUGGUUUCAUCUUGUUUGUUACAGUAAUUGAUUGGCUGCCCUAAAGUGCUAUGCUGAAAAUUUGAAAUCUGCAUCUAGAGGGAAAAAGAGAACAACAUUUAAGCCGAGUAUUUGCUAUUUGUCAUCUUUGCUCUAGAGCUACAAAACUCUCAUUGUAGUUCUGAAAAUUCCAAGCUUAGCCAGACAGCCGGCUCUUGGAGCACAAAUGAUCAUGUGACUCAGCUAGGAAUAUUGCUCUUCUAAUACUUCCAAGAGAUUGUUUUAAUCCAAUGGUCCCUCCUUUAAAACAGCAGAGAAUCUCUACUGUGCUUCUGAAGAACUCCAAGAACCAUUACCAUGCUGAUGUCAUCAGAGAUAUCCUUCAGCAUUAAACUCUAUACUUGCCUUUAAAAAAUUCCAACCUCCAUUAAAAUGACAACAGUUUCUCCUUUUAAAAUCUAGCCCUGUCAUUCUCAGACAUCAGUUUACAUAGCAAUUAAAAAUGCAGCCUCUUGUCCCUAUCCCCAGAGAUUCUGAUUUUGUUGGUCCAGAGUAAAGUUUGAAAUUGGCUUUUUAAUCUUUCCUAGUCUGAUACAUAUGGUCUGGAGGCCAUUCUUUGUCGUAGAUUUAGACUUGCAUCCUUCCUUCCAUAUCAUUUUUUUCCAGCUGUAAUUGCUUAAAUUUUAAUACUGUCAGCCAUAACACCUCGGGAAGAUAAUUUUUUGAUUAUGCUAUCAACUAGUAUCUGCAACAAGUAGUAAAUGCAAAGAGGCUGAAUACACAAAUCCAAGUAUUUAAGAUGUUGUGCAAUCAUAAUUGUUAGCUUUCUGGGCAGUGGUCUCUAGGAAUGCCAGUUUGCCCCCACUUCCCAAGUUCAAAUUCAAGCUACUUGACAUAAAACCGCCAGUUGCAUUCUCCCCACAUUUCACAACCAAAACAUUCUGAGCUUUUCCAACCCGAAUCAAGUCCAUAGGUUGUCUUUUGCCUUCUCAAAAGUUUACCCGCGAAGUCUUGAAUGACUUUUCUCGACAUGUUUUUUUUCUCAGAUAUAACUUACAGUUUAUUAGUAGGAGAGAAAUAGGUCCUUAACCAGUCUGAAUGCCCCACUUCUGAUCUUGUUUAGCUCUUUUUUCUUAUGUUUAAAAAAGCACAUAAAAAUAUACUAUUUUGGAGUUCCCGUCAUGGCGCAUUGGAUUCUUUUCUGCUGUGCCACAACAGGAAUUCCCUGGAUGUUAUUUUCAAAAUCAUUGACAAUUGAGGAAAAAAAAUCAACCCAAGGAACAUUUUUAAAACUCUUCUUUUUCCAGUCUUCCCUCAAAACAUUUAUCUCGCUCUGUUAUUAAUUUUUGCAAUAAAUCAAUAAAGUUUGCAAUCCUAUAAGCAGUGUCCAUCUAAAUAACCAGAAAGGCUACAACUAUGAUUGUUAGGCUUAUGAUCUUGACAUUAAAAAAAAAAAAAACCCUGCCUUUUCUUGGGUUAAGUUGUCUUGAAACUAACACAAAAGUUAGUUGAUCAUGAUUCUUGGAUAACGAUAACUGAACCUUCAUUUUAUGAAUUUAACAAUUCAUAGUAUCCAUGUAUUCUUAUGAAUUUUUCAGGCAAAUACAGUUUACUUAGCGCAUUUUAAGUAACUUGAUAGUUUUCGUAGCAACAUAUUAAAAAUAUUUACCUCAAAGAAAAUUCUUUAAAAUUGAAGUUCAUUACUUCUUUGAUUUCCAUUAUAAAAUCAAAAAUGUUUUCUCAGCAAGGGGAAAAAUUUUUUUUGAGUUGAAAAGAUUUGGUGAAAGAGUUGAGGUGCAUCUGGUUCAGUAACAUACUAAGCAUUUUUUUUCUUUGCAGUGCUCCCAUCCCUACUUAUGACCUUUCUCCAUUGCCCUCCAUUAUCACCCCUAAAUCACAGAACUUCAUUUAGUGUUAUGCAGUCCUCAGGGCAAAUGCUGCCAACAGCCUUGAACUAGACCUGUCCUCUCUUUGUAGUCUCUAACAUAAGCUAGGCAUUCAUAUUUUGCCAGUGGGAAUUUUUAAUGUAGUAAACUUCAGUCUGAAAAUUCCCCAAGUUCUUAUCCCUUUUUUUUUUUACAAUUAUUUACCACUUUAUCAGUUAUAGUAUUAAAUUUAUUUAGAGUAAGGAAUGCCUGUUUGAUUUAUAACUGAAGCUAGUUUGCAUUAUUUUUCUUCAGUCAUUAAACUGUACUCCUACUUAAGGGAACUUUUGAGUCAUUAGGCAACUAUGAGCAACUUGGUUUGUUAAUCACCAUUUACUGUUUGAUUCAUUUUUUGAAAAGGACCCAAAUAUUACAUUUAAUGACAUACCAAACUUGGAUUCAAGCAGUAUCUUCCAUUAGGUGAUUUGCUUCUGACCUGAGACACAUUACGUAAGAUCUACUCUUUCAUGAACAUUUUUUGUUUUAUGUGGUAAAAAAUUAACAGGUAAACACAAAAUUUGAUUCUUAAAUUAGAUUUUUAAGAGUUCCCUGUGGUGCAGAGGGUUAAGAAUCCGAGUAGCCACUGCAGCAGCUCAGGUUCCUGCUGUGGUUCGGUUCAGUCCCUGGCCCAGGAACUUCUACAUGCUGUAUGCAUAGCAAACACACACACACAAACACACACACACAUUUGAUAAUUCUAUUCUGAGACAAUUUUAAUAAUUGCAUUCUAAUUGCUUUUAAUAAUUUUGUUACAAAAAACUAUAAAAUGAGUGUGAAUGCCAAAUUACACAUUUCAUUUCAUGGAAAUGAAAGUGAUGGUUUGUGCUAUAAUUUAUAAAGUCAAAAAGUUUGAAUUGUGUAUUAUUUGGACUAUUGUUUUAAGCAUUCAUGGAAUUUAAAGACCUGUAAGGUCUUGCCUUUGCCCUCCUGGUGUGCUGCAGGGUAUUGUAGAGGUUAGGGUUGCCAUGUUGUGUGUUAUCGUUCAGACAUUCUGGCUCUGUGCCUUUUAGGUAGGCUUGGGCAGGUCAUUUCACCGCAGUGGACGCCAGCUUAUUUAUCCAUCAGUAUGGGCUUUGGAUCAGAAGAACCUUUCCAUUUCUCUAUCCCUGGAGUCUGUGAAACUUCUAAAGUUACUUUCAACUUCCUUCUGUGGCCUUUUCUCAUUUUUCUCCAGAUUCUCUGUUUCAUUUGACAUUAAGUGACCAUCCUUUCCUUCUUGGCAUCCUUCAUUUUUAGUUACAGUUGCUUUAGUAAUGUGUUUCAGUGUCCUGUUUCUCUGUCCCAUUUGCCUGGUCCCCUUUUUUAUCCUGUCACUUAAUUGUGUGUGUGCGUGCGUCUGUGUGUGUGUAUCAAUUAGUAAAACUUGUAUUUUGGGCCUAUACAUCAGAAGCUUUAAAUAGGCAAUUCUUCCUGUUCCAAAAAGUUUUUUUAAGACACAGCCUAAAACGUGCUCUUAAAUAUAUUUGAUAACUUAAACUUACUUUUCCAUGUAAAAACCCUAUCUACUUGAAUUUGUUUCAAACCAGAGACUGUUUUUCUUCCUCUUCAUCUAUUCUCCUCUACACCUAGCACUGGGCUGACGACUCAGAUCAUCCACUUAAUCACAAGUGUUCCUGUUCCUGUUUUGCCUUUGAAAUCUUGUUGUUUUAAGAUCAUGGUAUUUAACAGGCAAAUCAAAAUGGCGACAAAUGGAAAUGAAAGUGAUGGUUUAAAAACCUGGAAAGAAAUACAAUUUCAUUUUUUUUCCCAAAGAUUGACUCACAAAUUGAGGCGCAAUAGAAUAUGGGAUCUUUUUGUUUGCUCCUCAUCUAAAUUUUACUUCAGAAAUAUAUUUUCCGGAGUUCCCGUCGUGGCGCAGUGGUUAACGAAUCCAACUAGGAACCAUGAGGUUGCGGGUUCGGUCCCUGCCCUUGCUCAGUGGGUUAACGAUCCGGCGUUGCCGUGAGCUGUGGUGUAGGUG
RNAcentral lists this long non-coding RNA (5440 nucleotides) under Sus scrofa (pig). RNAcentral describes it as "lncRNA (ENSSSCG00055001143.1)". The record is from RNAcentral. Lineage: Eukaryota; Metazoa; Chordata; Mammalia; Artiodactyla; Suidae.